RNAcentral lists this ribosomal RNA (497 nucleotides) under uncultured bacterium. RNAcentral's name for it is "partial 16S ribosomal RNA". It matches the Rfam family "Bacterial small subunit ribosomal RNA", at positions 28 to 507 of the family's 1533-position model. The record is from RNAcentral.
GACGAACGCUGGCGGCGUGCCUAAUACAUGCAAGUUGAGCGAUGAAGAUUGGUGCUUGCACCAAUUUGAAGAGCAGCGAACGGGUGAGUAACGCGUGGGGAAUCUGCCUUUGAGCGGGGGACAACAUUUGGAAACGAAUGCUAAUACCGCAUAACAACUUUAAACAUAAGUUUUAAGUUUGAAAGAUGCAAUUGCAUCACUCAAAGAUGAUCCCGUGUUGUAUUAGCUAGUUGGUGAGGUAAAGGCUCACCAAGGCGAUGAUACAUAGCCGACCUGAGAGGGUGAUCGGCCACAUUGGGACUGAGACACGGCCCAAACUCCUACGGGAGGCAGCAGUAGGGAAUCUUCGGCAAUGGACGAAAGUCUGACCGAGCAACGCCGCGUGAGUGAAGAAGGUUUUCGGAUCGUAAAACUCUGUUGGUAGAGAAGAACGUUGGUGAGAGUGGAAAGCUCAUCAAGUGACGGUAACUACCCAGAAAGGGACGGCUAACUACGUG